Molecule: long non-coding RNA, 3051 nt
Organism: Marmota monax (woodchuck)
Lineage: Eukaryota; Metazoa; Chordata; Mammalia; Rodentia; Sciuridae
Exons: 3
Source: RefSeq, a predicted model, not a curated record
UUCCUUCCCUUUUCUCCAGGGCUGAAGAGUUUGCUUGCUUCCCUUUAAAGGAGACAGCUUGAAAUUUGUGACUGAAGCACUAGUUCAAUUUUCUAGAUUAUUCUAUAAAUUAUAGCCAAUGCUUUUGCUGUCCCACAUGUAGCCAUGCCACUGUAUCCACAUUGCCCUUAACUUCGUUUUGUUGUUGUUGUUGUAGAACUUAUUACCAUCUGGAGAUAUCACUGGAAAUUAAACACACACAUACAUACACACACACAUUUAUGCAUACAAUAUUUUCUCCACAACUAAUUACUGAAUUUGUGGUAAACAUUAACAAGGACAGCUGGAUUAUAGAAAUAUAAAAAGGGACUUAAUCUGAGAUUUAAGGAAUUCCUCAGAAAAUUGGGAAUGGAACCACCAUUUGACCCAGAUAUCUCACUCCUUGGUUUAUACCCAAAGGACUUAAAAAUCAGCAUAUUACAGUGAUACAGCCUCAUCAAUGUUUAUAGCAGCUCAAUUCACAAUAACUGUUAUGGAACCAACCUAGGUGUCCCUCAAUAGAUGAAUGGAUAAAGAAAAUGUGGCAUAUAUACUCAAUGGGAUAUUACUCAGCUUUAAAGAAGAGUAAAAUUAUGGCAUUUGUCAGUAAAUGGCUGGAGUUGGAGAAUACCAUGGGUCAUGCCAUAAUGAAUCCAUUCUCUUUCAGAGAAUUGGAGUGGAAACCACAAUGGAGAGGAGGAUGGCACUGGGGGGAGGAUGAAAAGAGAAAAGAAGAGGCCACAACUUCAAGAAACAGAGUUGUUACCCAAGAGGUCAUGCAAUUAAAACCAAAUGGUGUCAUCCUACACAUUUUGGUGUAUACAAAAGUCAAAGAAACCAUCAAAAAUGAAUCUGGUACUGGAGGCAGUGAUGCAUGCCUAUACUCCUAUCUUCUCUGGAAGCUGAGGCAGGAGGAUCGCAAGUUCAAGGCUAGCCUGGGCAACUUAGACCCUGUCUGUAAAGAAAAAAUAAAAAGGGGUGGAGAUGUAGCUCAGUAAAAUAAAAUAAAAUCUGGAGGUGUGUGUGUGCAUGGAUCUUUCCCCCUCUGAGAUAUGAAGAGAAAUAUUUUAUUCCCUAGUAUAAACAAUUUCUCCUUGGGAAUACAAAGGAGGAUAUAGGUGUUUACCCUUUGGAAUAUAAAUAAAUUUCUCCACAGGAAAGAUAAGGCCAGAACUCUAGCUUUACCUCCUAGAGAUGUCUUCAUGGCCCUAGGGGUUCACUCCUCCUUAAGAUGAAAACACACAUACUUUGGGGGAGGUAAAUCUCUCUGGAAUUCUCAUUAGCUAAUCACUCUUCAAUUAAUUCCAGGCUUGGCCUUUCAACUCAGAUCCCAAAUCUCAGUAAAAUUUGUUCAAAAAACCUUAAUCAUGCAGAAAUAGAAUACUUUGCCUAUGUUGGCUGAACCACAGGCCUACCAUCUUAAAUGUCUCAUGAGCUGCUUGACUUAUGUGGCCUUCUUGGUUCUGAUUGUAAGCAUUUGCCUCUGAUGAGAUUUAGGAACAUGACACUCCCAAAUAUGGCAUUUUAGAUUUGAGAAGACAGCAGAAGCAGAAAGGACUCCCUGACCUCUUCCCCUUCCCCUCUGAAGUAGACCAUGAAAGAAUGAUCUUCUUUUGAAGCAAAUUAUGAGGUAGAAUAGAAGAGAUAAAGGCAGGUUGAAAGGAGACAAAAGGAAGGAAAAGGAGUACAAUUUUAAUCUAAAAGUCUUGUGCUAAAAUUCCUCAUACCUUCACUUCCAAUGUCAGUUUUUCCUCAGGCCCUUUACUCUCAAAUUUCUGAGAAUUCUACAGAGUUUUACUCAUUAUCUUCAACUUUCUGGAAAUUCACUAUAUACAUGUCCAUUACUGCAUACAUUUUAAAAAAUAGAUUGAGCAAAUUAAGAUAUGAAACUGGGGAAAUAUAGUGUAUUUCCCCAGUGUUAUCUAAUGAUCCAACAAUGGGGAAGACAUCAACCUAAGGAUCCCGAGAACUGCCAUACCACCACAAAACAUCUUGUGAUCACCAGACUGAUGUCAUCCCCACAUACCUUCCCAUGCCCACCACUCACAAGGUUUCCUUUAAGAGCCUGAGGCUGAAAAGCCUGUCUCACUUUCAAAAUAGCCUGCAUUCUUCUUUGAAUGUGUACUCCUUGCUUUUCUGAAUAACUCUCCGUUGGUGCCUCUACUUGAUAUGUCUUGAAAUUCCUUUCUCCAGUGUUUUUCAAGGAUCCUGUUUUCCUGAGUUGAGGGCCCCCUCUCCAGGAUUUCCUUGACACACCCCCACUCCAGUGACAAUAAGACUUUCAUUCAAGAGGUAACUUUUCUCUAUCUGAAUUAAAGGAAUAUCCUUUUUCUGAAGACACAGGGACACAGAGUAGAACAUGAACAAACAACUUGCUCAAUUACUCCCAGUUUUUCACUAUUAGAUCAUUGUUAUCGUUUGGAUGUGAGGUGCCCCCCAAAAGCUCACAUAUGAGACAACCUUCUAAGGACUAAGACCUCAAGCCCUGAGGAAUGGAGCUGGCCUUCUAUGGACUAAGUUCUCUGAAACCAUGAGCCCUCAAAUAAACUUUUCCUCCUCUACAAUUGUUCUGGUUGGAUCUUUUAGUGAACUAAUUAAAACAAUCAUACAUAGCCUCUUGGUUCAGUCCUGCUUCUCCACAACUGUCCAUGCUGCAUCAAAGUUAGCAUAAAAAUACAUAGCUUUCCCUGCUUUUUUCCUUUCCUUAUGAAGGUUCCCAUGUCAUGUAAAACUUGUAUUAAGUAAUUCUGUGUGCUUUUCUCUUGUUAAGCUGUGCUUUGUUAUAGGUGCUUCAACCAUGAACCUACCAAUGAAUGAGAAACGACAUAUUUUUUCUCUUGUACCUCCAAGUUAUUAUCAAUACUUUGAUCAAAGAAUGUAUGUGUGCAUGACCAAUGUAAUUCUGCAACCUGUACACUUAGAAAAAUGAGAACUUAUAUCCCAUCUGAUUCAAAUGUAUGAUAUGUCAAGAUCAUUGUACUGUCAUGUGUAACUAAUUAAAACAAAUAAAAAAAUCUUAAAAAAUAGAAAGAU